Daphnia pulicaria is the source of this 1199-nucleotide long non-coding RNA. RefSeq lists it as uncharacterized. The record is from RefSeq and is a predicted model, not a curated record. The transcript is spliced from 6 exons. NCBI's taxonomy places the organism in Eukaryota, Metazoa, Arthropoda, Branchiopoda, Diplostraca, Daphniidae.
CUGCUGCUAGUGCUAGUCUUUAUCAUUUCGGGAAACCAUGCAUUCUUUGAGCCCAUGAUCAUGCAGUAGGCUAUUAGCUUAUCUAUCAUGAUAUCGGAUGGAUUGAGAUUAGUGAUCAAAUGUUAAAUAUUUGUCCUCUUAGCACACCUUGGUCCUAUUUCUAGCCUCCAAUAGAAAAACUAGAGCCUUCCCUUGUCACAUUAGGAGAGUUCAUGAACUUUGUACCAUUUUUUUAGAUUUCCCUCCAGGCAAUGGCGCUUUCUUCAUUAGAUUCACGCAUCUAUCAUCCGACGCAGUUCGUGCUCGUUGUACUGGGCGUAAAUGUUGCUAAUGUCAUCGGGAUGUGUGGCGUAAACCGGAAGAAAGUGUCUCCGCAAUCCCCUGACGAGCCUCAACACGAAAUGGAACAAACGCACUACUUUCCAAGGGAUGGCGAGGAACAACGUCGGGGUAGUAAUCUCUCGAGUCAACAUUGUCUGUAGCUCCAAGGAAUUCGAUGGUGGAGAAUGACGGCCGAAUCCGCAACUAGGACCAACAAGAAACCCGUUGCUAUAAUAAUCAGACCCUGUUUUAAGCCAAUGGUACGCUACCUUCAUCAUUGGUGAGUCAAUGAUGAGACCAGGAAAGGAGGAAGAAGAAAGCACAGCCACUCGACCCAAAAGAGCCAACGUUUCUAAAAACCUUCCAGCUGUGUGGCACGUAGACAACGUCAGCAUCGAGCAGGCCAAAAAAAAAGGCGAGUUAUUUAUUUGGCUUUAAUUCAAACAAGAAAAAAAGAAAGAAAAGGGACCCGUCAAUCCUUUCCUUCAUGGGAACGAAGCCAAGGCAUUGGCAAACAGAGUUCUUUUUUGUCUGUCCAAAGUCCGUUUUUUUUUUUUCUCUUUCCAUCUUAUACCUCGACGGGAGACUCUUUGACUGUGUCCCAUCUUAUUUUUGUUGUUGUUAUAUAGCAGGCUCAUCCAUUAUUCAUGAUCAUCCCCUAUGUGUGAGCAGCAGUUCCUUGAUCGUCGGUUCGUUUGAAAUACCGCAACAUGUACACCCCAAUCCAUUUUUAGACAAUCGACAAAUAAUUGCAAAAACGAGUCAACAAGUGUAUUGACAAUCAACGGGGUCGGAUAUUUUGAUUUCGAAAGUAUGCAGGUCUAAAGUAGUUGGAAGACUUAGAAGUAGUAAGAGUAGGCUGGAUAUUGCGGGAAUCC